Molecule: non-coding RNA, 23 nt
Filed under: Arabidopsis thaliana (thale cress)
Lineage: Eukaryota; Viridiplantae; Streptophyta; Magnoliopsida; Brassicales; Brassicaceae
Source: RNAcentral
UGGUUGAUGGCACCAUAGCAACA